Streptococcus parauberis NCFD 2020 is the source of this 91-nucleotide non-coding RNA. NCBI's taxonomy places the organism in Bacteria, Bacillati, Bacillota, Bacilli, Lactobacillales, Streptococcaceae. The record is from Rfam.
UACAGAGUAGGUGAUUUGCGUCAAGUGUAUGUGAAUGGGAUGUCGUCACAUAAGGAAGCCAAAUGCGCGGUAAAUCAUUGCAUCCGCUGUU